CCUACGGGGGGCAGCAGUGAGGAAUAUUGGUCAAUGGGCGUAAGCCUGAACCAGCCAAGUCGCGUGAGGGAUGAAGGUUCUAUGGAUCGUAAACCUCUUUUAUAAGGGAAUAAAGUGUGGGACGUGUCCUAUUUUGUAUGUACCUUAUGAAUAAGGAUCGGCUAACUCCGUGCCAGCAGCCGCGGUAAUACGGAGGAUCCGAGCGUUAUCCGGAUUUAUUGGGUUUAAAGGGUGCGUAGGCGGCCUUUUAAGUCAGCGGUGAAAGUCUGUGGCUCAACCAUAGAAUUGCAGUUGAAACUGGGGGCCUUGAGUAUGGUUGAGGCAGGUGGAAUGCGUGGUGUAGCGGUGAAAUGCUUAGAUAUCACGAAGAACUCCGAUUGCGAAGGCAGCCUACCAAGCCAUGACUGACGCUGAUGCACGAAAGCGUGGGGAUCAAACAGGAUUAGAUACCCGUGUAGUC
RNAcentral lists this ribosomal RNA (460 nucleotides) under uncultured bacterium. RNAcentral describes it as "partial 16S ribosomal RNA". It matches the Rfam family "Bacterial small subunit ribosomal RNA", at positions 338 to 795 of the family's 1533-position model. The record is from RNAcentral.